RNAcentral lists this long non-coding RNA (508 nucleotides) under Vigna radiata. RNAcentral's name for it is "long non-coding RNA (VRAD_LNC012483)". Lineage: Eukaryota; Viridiplantae; Streptophyta; Magnoliopsida; Fabales; Fabaceae. The record is from RNAcentral.
GGAAUUUUGAUCUCCAUUUUCUUGAAGAUCUCUAUACAGUGCUUGAACUUCUUUUCCUUCCUAUGAUUUUUCUUUUUAUGAGGAAGGGGCUUUUCAUAUGAUCUUUUCUUCUUUCAUCUCUUCCUCUUUUUCUCAACCUUCUCCUUUUUCCACUUUCUUUUUUUCUUUUUUCUUAUUUUCUUAUUUUUUCUUUUUUUCUCAACCACUACUUUUUGUUUCUCCUCAUCUUUCUCUCCCUCACUCAACCUUUCUGCUUCAUCUUCCUCUAUUUUCUCCUCUUCUAUCUUUUCCACUUCUCUCUCCACCUUCUCCUCAUUAACAACCUCAUCAAUUUGUGUCUCCAAAUUCCUAAAGGUAACUUCAUAUCUCUUGGAAUCACACCUCUCUAGAAAUUUGUUUAACUUUUCAUUCAAGCUUUUGACUUGUUCCGUCACAUUAGUUGUUUGUUGACAAAGUUGUCGAUCAUACUCCCACGCUUCUAUUGGUGAAGAGCAUUGUUGUUGCCACU